GACGAACGCUGGCGGCGUGCUUAACACAUGCAAGUCGAACGAUGAAGCUUGGUGCUUGCACUGGGUGGAUUAGUGGCGAACGGGUGAGUAACACGUGAGUAACCUGCCCUUUACUUCGGGAUAAGCUUGGGAAACUGGGUCUAAUACCGGAUAUUCUGCGUGAUCGGAUGGUUGUGUAGGAAAGAUUUUUCGGUAAGGGAUGGGCUCGCGGCCUAUCAGUUUGUUGGUGGGGUGAUGGCCUACCAAGACGACGACGGGUAGCCGGCCUGAGAGGGCGACCGGCCACACUGGGACUGAGACACGGCCCAGACUCCUACGGGAGGCAGCAGUGGGGAAUAUUGCACAAUGGGGGAAACCCUGAUGCAGCGACGCCGCGUGGGGGAUGGCGGCCUUCGGGUUGUAAACCUCUUUCAGUAGGGAAGAAGCGAAAGUGACGGUACCUGCAGAAGAAGUACCGGCUAACUACGUGCCAGCAGCCGCGGUAAUACGUAAGGUACUAGCGUUGUCCGGAAUUAUUGGGCGUAAGAGCUCGUAGGUGGUUUGUCGCGUCUGCUGUGGAAACGUGCCGCUGUAUGGUGCGCGUGCAGUGGGUACGGGCGGACUAGAGUGCAGUAGGGGAGUCUGGAAUUCCUGGUGUAGCGGUGAAAUGCGCAGAUAUCAGGAGGAACACCGGUGGCGAAGGCGGGACUCUGGGCUGUUACUGACGCCGAGGAGCGAAAGCAUGGGGAGCGAACAGGAUUAGAUACCCUGGUAGUCCAUGCCGUAAACGUUGGGCACUAGGUGUGGGGUCCAUUCCACGGAUUCUGCGCCGUAGCUAACGCAUUAAGUGCCCCGCCUGGGGAGUACGGCCGCAAGGCUAAAACUCAAAGGAAUUGACGGGGGCCCGCACAAGCGGCGGAGCAUGCGGAUUAAUUCGAUGCAACGCGAAGAACCUUACCAAGGCUUGACAUGCACUAGACCAUCGCAGAGAUGUGGUUUUCUUUUUGACUGGUGUACAGGUGGUGCAUGGUUGUCGUCAGCUCGUGUCGUGAGAUGUUGGGUUAAGUCCCGCAACGAGCGCAACCCUCGUUCUAUGUUUCCAGCACGUGAUGGUGGGAACUCAUGGGAGACUGCCGGGGUCAACUCGGAGGAAGGUGGGGAUGACGUCAAAUCAUCAUGCCCUUUGUGUCUUGGGCUUCACGCAUGCUACAAUGGCCGGUACAGAGGGUGGCGAUACCGUGAGGUGGAGCGAAUCUCUUAAAGCCGGUCUCAGUUCGGAUCGUAGUCUGCAACUCGACUACGUGAAGUCGGAGUCGCUAGUAAUCGCAGAUCAGCAAUGCUGCGGUGAAUACGUUCCC
Molecule: ribosomal RNA, 1337 nt
Filed under: uncultured bacterium
Lineage: Bacteria
Description: 16S ribosomal RNA
Rfam family: Bacterial small subunit ribosomal RNA
Source: RNAcentral